AUUUAAUACUCCAAAAUUAACCCUUUAAUACUAUUGAGUAAUUCUAUGCACUCAUAGAAAUUUUUAUGUUAAAACUAGUAAUAAGAAGAAGAACUUCUCUUUAAUGCACUUAUAAACCAGAUAGGACACACCACUGGCAGUUAACACACCUGACCCCAAAGUAAAAACUUAUCUAGAAAAAUUUACUAUACACAGUGUUAAACUUACACAAGAGCAUCUCAAGAAAGAUUUAAAGAAAAAGAAGGAACUCGGCAAAUAUUAACCCCGCCUGUUUACCAAAAACAUCGCCUCUUGAAUAAAUCAUAAGAGGUCCAGCCUGCCCAGUGACCUAGUUCAACGGCCGCGGUAUCCUAACCGUGCGAAGGUAGCGUAAUCACUUACCCUUUAAAUGAGGGCUAGUAUGAAUGGCAUCACGAGAGUUAUACUGUCUCCUUUUUCUAAUCAGUGAAACUAAUCUCUCCGUGAAGAGGCGGGGAUAAAAUUAUAAGACGAGAAGACCCUAUGGAGCUUUAAAUAACACAACAUUUAUUAUUUCCCCCCUAAUUUCCGAAAUUUAAUCCCCAUGAUAAUAUUAUGAUUGUUAAUUUUCGGUUGGGGUGACCACGGAGUAAAAACUAACCUCCACGUUGAAAAGGGGGGCUUCCCCCUUAACAAAAAGCUACAACUUUAUGUAUCAACAAAUUGACAUUAAUUGACCCAUCAUUUGAUCAACGAACCAAGUUACCCUAGGGAUAACAGCGCCAUCCACUUCAAGAGCUCAUAUCGACAAGUGGGUUUACGACCUCGAUGUUGGAUCAGGGUAUCCCAGUGGUGUAGCCGCUACUAAA
Molecule: ribosomal RNA, 827 nt
Filed under: Gastrotheca prasina
Lineage: Eukaryota; Metazoa; Chordata; Amphibia; Anura; Hemiphractidae
Description: partial 16S ribosomal RNA
Rfam family: Bacterial large subunit ribosomal RNA
Source: RNAcentral